This 69-nucleotide transfer RNA is filed under the name Cavia porcellus (domestic guinea pig). It matches the Rfam family "tRNA". From Rfam's summary of the family: Transfer RNA (tRNA) molecules are approximately 80 nucleotides in length. Their secondary structure includes four short double-helical elements and three loops (D, anti-codon, and T loops). Further hydrogen bonds mediate the characteristic L-shaped molecular structure. tRNAs have two regions of fundamental functional importance: the anti-codon, which is responsible for specific mRNA codon recognition, and the 3' end, to which the tRNAs corresponding amino acid is attached (by aminoacyl-tRNA synthetases). tRNAs cope with the degeneracy of the genetic code in two manners: having more than one tRNA (with a specific anti-codon) for a particular amino acid; and 'wobble' base-pairing, i.e. permitting non-standard base-pairing at the 3rd anti-codon position. The record is from Rfam by way of RNAcentral. Lineage: Eukaryota; Metazoa; Chordata; Mammalia; Rodentia; Caviidae.
GAGAAUAUAGCUUAGUGGCAAAGCACCUGCCUGAUAAGUGUGAAGUUGUGAGUUUGAUUCUUGCUAUCA